RNAcentral lists this ribosomal RNA (462 nucleotides) under uncultured bacterium. RNAcentral describes it as "partial 16S ribosomal RNA". It matches the Rfam family "Bacterial small subunit ribosomal RNA", at positions 28 to 507 of the family's 1533-position model. The record is from RNAcentral.
GACGAACGCUGGCGGCGUGCUUAACACAUGCAAGUCGAACGGAAAGGCCCUUCGGGGUACUCGAGUGGCGAACGGGUGAGUAACACGUGGGUGAUCUGCUCUGCACUUUGUGAUAAGCCUGGGAAACUGGGUCUAAUACCGAAUAGGACCACGCGCUUCAUGGUGUGUGGUGGCAAGCUUUUGCGGUGUGGGAUGGGCCCGCGGCCUAUCAGCUUGUUGGUGGGGUAAUGGCCUACCAAGGCGACGACGGGUAGCCGGCCUGAGAGGGUGACCGGCCACACUGGGACUGAGAUACGGCCCAGACGCCUACGGGAGGCAGCAGUGGGGAAUAUUGCACAAUGGGCGCAAGCCUGAUGCAGCGACGCCGCGUGAGGGAUGACGGCCUUCGGGUUGUAAACCUCUUUCAAUAGGGACGAAGCGCAAGUGACGGUACCUAUAGAAGAAGCAACGGCCAACUACGUG